This is a non-coding RNA of Lolium perenne, 816 nucleotides long. The record is from RefSeq and is a predicted model, not a curated record. Lineage: Eukaryota; Viridiplantae; Streptophyta; Magnoliopsida; Poales; Poaceae.
UGACCUGGUCGAUUCUAAAAAAAAAAGCAUUGAUCUGGUCGAAGCUGAUGGCAUGGCGAGCGGCCGCCGGUCUCACUUCCGUCUACCCGGCGGCCGGAGCGCGCUGCGAGCGGGGUCUGGCAGACUGGACCCUAAUUUGCGUGAUUGCUAAGGAAAAAAAGGAGAUAUCUGAUACCAAUAUAUUAUGUUGAAGAGAUGGAAAACACGAAUCAGAGAUAUGGUGGAUGGCCGAGAAGAAUGACCGAUGCCUGUAUUCUCCUUCUCUAGACAAGUAACUGAUCAGCCAACAACGUGUGCCCAUAGUCGCUUGGAUGAAGAAAACAUGUGAUGAGGGGUUAAUGGUUUCAUUGCUCCAGUGGUGAAAGUGGUGAUGUCAACUCAACCUUGACCUGCUCCAUUCACUCGUGGUGGGAGUCACAAAUCAGAGCUAUCAAAGAAGACCAACAUAGAAAGUGCAGUGUAUUUCAUGUACACCGUGUAGAACUUUUGGAAUGUGACGAUUCAACCUUUUCCAACAAAGACAAGUGUAGUCGAUGGAGGUUGCUUUCGAUUGUUUAGCCUUGGCAACUGUUAGUUCUGGAAAAUUUUCCAAAAAAAAUAAAAUCCUAGCUGUAAGUGUUCCAUAGUUUAGUAAUACUUUUGUUGCGCACUUAUCUUCUCCUUGCUCUUAGCAAGUGCUCAUAAAAAUUAUUUUGAAGUUGUUUUUCUCUUAACGAAUAGGCAUUACUCUUGCCAAUCAACUACUACGCGUAUUCUAAUGGACUUGGACCUCUAUGGACUUCUUGUCUUUGCGAUUGUGUGUUGUACAUUGAUCAA